Molecule: ribosomal RNA, 611 nt
Filed under: uncultured bacterium
Lineage: Bacteria
Description: partial 16S ribosomal RNA
Rfam family: Bacterial small subunit ribosomal RNA (bases 1-524)
Source: RNAcentral
CCUACGGGAGGCAGCAGUGGGGAAUAUUGCACAAUGGGCGCAAGCCUGAUGCAGCAACGCCGCGUGAGGGACGACGGCCUUCGGGUUGUAAACCUCUUUUAGUAGGGAAGAAGCGAAAGUGACGGUACCUGCAGAAAAAGCACCGGCUAACUACGUGCCAGCAGCCGCGGUAAUACGUAGGGUGCAAGCGUUAUCCGGAAUUAUUGGGCGUAAAGAGCUCGUAGGCGGUUUGUCGCGUCUGCUGUGAAAACUGGAGGCUCAACCUCCAGCCUGCAGUGGGUACGGGCAGACUAGAGUGCGGUAGGGGAGAUUGGAAUUCCUGGUGUAGCGGUGGAAUGCGCAGAUAUCAGGAGGAACACCGAUGGCGAAGGCAGAUCUCUGGGCCGUAACUGACGCUGAGGAGCGAAAGCAUGGGGAGCGAACAGGAUUAGAUACCCUGGUAGUCCAUGCCGUAAACGUUGGGAACUAGAUGUAGGGACCAUUCCACGGUUUCUGUGUCGCNGCUACGACAUACGUUACCCGUCCGUCGGGAGGUACGGCCGGCGACGACGUAAACUAACAACGAAGUAGACGGCGUGAGACGUGCCGACGACGACGACGAGGGAGGUAGG